Molecule: ribosomal RNA, 1554 nt
Filed under: Staphylococcus aureus
Lineage: Bacteria; Bacillati; Bacillota; Bacilli; Caryophanales; Staphylococcaceae
Description: 16S ribosomal RNA
Rfam family: Bacterial small subunit ribosomal RNA
Source: RNAcentral
UUUAUGGAGAGUUUGAUCCUGGCUCAGGAUGAACGCUGGCGGCGUGCCUAAUACAUGCAAGUCGAGCGAACGGACGAGAAGCUUGCUUCUCUGAUGUUAGCGGCGGACGGGUGAGUAACACGUGGAUAACCUACCUAUAAGACUGGGAUAACUUCGGGAAACCGGAGCUAAUACCGGAUAAUAUUUUGAACCGCAUGGUUCAAAAGUGAAAGACGGUCUUGCUGUCACUUAUAGAUGGAUCCGCGCUGCAUUAGCUAGUUGGUAAGGUAACGGCUUACCAAGGCAACGAUGCAUAGCCGACCUGAGAGGGUGAUCGGCCACACUGGAACUGAGACACGGUCCAGACUCCUACGGGAGGCAGCAGUAGGGAAUCUUCCGCAAUGGGCGAAAGCCUGACGGAGCAACGCCGCGUGAGUGAUGAAGGUCUUCGGAUCGUAAAACUCUGUUAUUAGGGAAGAACAUAUGUGUAAGUAACUGUGCACAUCUUGACGGUACCUAAUCAGAAAGCCACGGCUAACUACGUGCCAGCAGCCGCGGUAAUACGUAGGUGGCAAGCGUUAUCCGGAAUUAUUGGGCGUAAAGCGCGCGUAGGCGGUUUUUUAAGUCUGAUGUGAAAGCCCACGGCUCAACCGUGGAGGGUCAUUGGAAACUGGAAAACUUGAGUGCAGAAGAGGAAAGUGGAAUUCCAUGUGUAGCGGUGAAAUGCGCAGAGAUAUGGAGGAACACCAGUGGCGAAGGCGACUUUCUGGUCUGUAACUGACGCUGAUGUGCGAAAGCGUGGGGAUCAAACAGGAUUAGAUACCCUGGUAGUCCACGCCGUAAACGAUGAGUGCUAAGUGUUAGGGGGUUUCCGCCCCUUAGUGCUGCAGCUAACGCAUUAAGCACUCCGCCUGGGGAGUACGACCGCAAGGUUGAAACUCAAAGGAAUUGACGGGGACCCGCACAAGCGGUGGAGCAUGUGGUUUAAUUCGAAGCAACGCGAAGAACCUUACCAAAUCUUGACAUCCUUUGACANCUCUAGAGUUGNNNNNNNNNNNNNNNNNNNNNNNNGUGACAGGUGGUGCAUGGUUGUCGUCAGCUCGUGUCGUGAGAUGUUGGGUUAAGUCCCGCAACGAGCGCAACCCUUAAGCUUAGUUGCCAUCAUUAAGUUGGGCACUCUAAGUUGACUGCCGGUGACAAACCGGAGGAAGGUGGGGAUGACGUCAAAUCAUCAUGCCCCUUAUGAUUUGGGCUACACACGUGCUACAAUGGACAAUACAAAGGGCAGCGAAACCGCGAGGUCAAGCAAAUCCCAUAAAGUUGUUCUCAGUUCGGAUUGUAGUCUGCAACUCGACUACAUGAAGCUGGAAUCGCUAGUAAUCGUAGAUCAGCAUGCUACGGUGAAUACGUUCCCGGGUCUUGUACACACCGCCCGUCACACCACGAGAGUUUGUAACACCCGAAGCCGGUGGAGUAACCUUUUAGGAGCUAGCCGUCGAAGGUGGGACAAAUGAUUGGGGUGAAGUCGUAACAAGGUAGCCGUAUCGGAAGGUGCGGCUGGAUCACCUCCUUUCU